Hypanus sabinus (Atlantic stingray) is the source of this 151-nucleotide long non-coding RNA. RefSeq lists it as uncharacterized. The record is from RefSeq and is a predicted model, not a curated record. The transcript is spliced from 3 exons. NCBI's taxonomy places the organism in Eukaryota, Metazoa, Chordata, Chondrichthyes, Myliobatiformes, Dasyatidae.
GAAGACUUCAGAGAUAUCCACCAGAGAAAGGUGACCCUAUCACAGCUCAGGGGCGUUCUGGAGUCCAAAGUUCAACCCCGGCGCCAAUCUGUAAGGAGUCCCUGUGGAACAGAAAAUGGGAAGUCAAUUGACUGUGCUUGGUGGAAAAAUG